CCACAGGCCACAGGCCGCAGGCCCCUGCUUCAGACAAAACCAUUUCUCUGAACAUGGAGGCUUUGGGCUCCUCUGGUCACAUGCAGGUGACCCCAGGACAGGUGGAAAUAAUGAUGGCUUUGCCAGAGGAGGAGCAAAAACUAAAGAAGAAUGUAUACUGGCUCAUGGUCCCUGUGGCACCUUCAGCCACCACCAGAGCGUGACCCAUGCGGCACUGUGCCUCCAAGAACGUCUCUUCAGCAGUUCCCCUCACACGCCCUCCCACUCAAUCUCAGGCCCUCCCAGAUGCCCACUCAUUACCUUGCAUUCCAUAAAUCAUUUACUGCCUCCAAAAUAUUUCUUAGGUGAAUUUCUAACUUUUCAAAACAUUUUUAUGUACUUGGUUAAAUAAAGAACUUUGUUUCUUUCCAGACUGAUGCCCCAGGGUAUUUUUUCUG
Long non-coding RNA from Nycticebus coucang (slow loris), 437 nucleotides. RefSeq lists it as uncharacterized. The record is from RefSeq and is a predicted model, not a curated record. NCBI's taxonomy places the organism in Eukaryota, Metazoa, Chordata, Mammalia, Primates, Lorisidae. The transcript is spliced from 3 exons.